GAGAAAAUUCGCAAGGAUUGCUAACCCA
Molecule: transfer RNA, 28 nt
Filed under: Cercopithecus nictitans martini
Lineage: Eukaryota; Metazoa; Chordata; Mammalia; Primates; Cercopithecidae
Description: partial tRNA-Ser
Source: RNAcentral